AAUCUCAAGGAAGCUCUUUGGGAGCCAGGAUUCCCAGCACUUAGCUGGUGGGCAAAGGGGUUCAACCCCUUCCCCACACCCCACCUUCCCUCCUCCCAGUCUUCGGGAUUGCGGAGCUCCUGCCGGGAUCCAAGAGCAGGCUCUUGGAGGUCGAAGAAGGAUAUAACCUCCAGACCUGGAAUUUAAGACGCAAGAACCAGCCAGCAAAAGUGGCAGCCGAGCAUGCGAGGGACUGCUGAUGGCUUUUUAUUAGGAAGCUAUGCAACUUGAGGUUCUACUGAAAAGGAGAAGAGGCCACUGGAGAUGGGAAGCCACGAAAACACAGAUAAACAAGAAAGACCAUCUGAAUGUGUGCAAAGGAGGGAAAGAUGAGGAAGAGGCAGAUGAUGGACCGGUUUCAAUGACAGCCAGAAUCUCUUUCACUACUUGUGUCCCAUGCUGAGAAGAAGGAGGCUGGAUGGAGAGAGCUUCAGUGUUUUGGGUAGAGCUGGUUGACUAGAGAGGAGGGACGAGAAACUACAGCAUUACUUCUGCAGAUUCACAAAGGAGUCCACGUUCCAAGAUGAGAGAAAUACCAGUGAGUCAUGUUCCUUUCCGUUUAGAAGAGAUAAUAUUGAGAUUCCAAGGAUGCUUUUCAAACCAGGAAUGAUGACCGGAAUAUUUGAUGCUAUUGAGCUAUUUACUAAUGUUGCUGCCUUACAGGAAGCCGAUGGCUAUUCUACUUGACUGAAUGAAAAGAAAAGGAAGGCACUUCCUGUCAAUCCUGCUUUGGAUUCCUAGACAGUUUAAGAAGCACCAUUGAUCUGAUCAUUGGCACUGAGGAGGAAAUGCCCAUCCGCAGAAGACAUGCAGGGCUCAACCCAGCUUGACAUGGGCAGUGAGUGGUUUCUGAUGUAACCCUUUCUGUAAACUACCCCCUCACACACAUGUAAACCCCUGCUUCCUCCUUUAAGUAGCCACAUUGGUGGUGCCUCUGUUGUAAGGUUACAGGGGAGAAUGACUAGACAGUAGUGAGGAAAGCAUUUGGGAAGGUGAUUCGUUUCUGUUUUUCUGGUACUCUCCCAAAACAGGAGAUACUCUUGUUGCAUAGAUGCAGUCAGUGGUUUCUUGCAGUCAGUGGUUUCUUGGAUUUGGGGAGUUAAAAGUCAUGUGACACAGGCCUAUUGACACAUCGAUGUGAGGAGUUUAAGGUAAUGCUGCUGUGAUUGAGAAGAAUCGCCCCAGUAAAGCUUUAGCAUGAAGCCAAGCAGCUUAUAAUGACACAGGAUUCUCAAUGAAUGAAGUUUUAAGGGAUAAAAUCUUUACAAUGAAAUAAAAACAAUCUUAAGAAAACGAUUAGGCUCUAGUAAAAAUAAGCUGUGUUUUAAGAGUGGUUUCUAUAUUCAGCGUUAUUAUCCUUCACUUAUACUCAGAUAAAUAUGUUAUGCUCAAGCUGGCUCAUAGUCUUCAGAAAUAAGAAUGGACAUUAUACUUUGAUGUAAUAUCAACAUGUUGCAUAUACAAAGUAAACACUUUUGGUGAUAAAAAA
RNAcentral lists this long non-coding RNA (1528 nucleotides) under Mus musculus (house mouse). RNAcentral's name for it is "RIKEN cDNA 9530026P05 gene". The record is from RNAcentral. Lineage: Eukaryota; Metazoa; Chordata; Mammalia; Rodentia; Muridae.